UACGUUGUUAUUGAUACGGCCAUCGAAGUUGGAAGAUGGAAACCAUUACCAGUUCAGUCAACAAUACCAGCUAGAGUUUUUUUGAUGAUGGGAGAGAUGGAAGAUGAUUUUGGCGAUCUUUACGCAGACGUAGAGCUUCAAGUAAGUGAUACCAUUAACGCAGUCUCAGGCUUCAACCAGUUGUAUUUAGAAAAUGAUAGUAAGAACGAGAUUGAUGGUGUUGAUGAUCAUGUGGCCUCCGAAUUAAUGUCGAAGAAAGUUAAUUCGAUUAGCCAGGAGUCAACUCUGUGUAGUAAGGAUGAAGGGAAAUUGAUUGAGAAUGUCACGGAAACCCCGAAUUCGGAAGCCCAUGUCGAAGAAGAGCUAAUUGUGGAUAGUGGAAGUGAUAGCGAAGAUGAUUUGCAUAUUGUUUUGAAUGAGGAUGACUGUUGUAUGCACCCGGUUCCACGCAAUGCAAUAACGAGUAAUCGGAGAUUGACUGAGGGAAGUGACGAUGAAGAUGAUGACUUAGUGAUUGUUACCGAUGCUAAUCGUCCAAGCAAUGAUAGGAACUUGAUGGAUCAGUUACAGUCGUCUUGUGAUGGAUUGGAGCAGACUGCUUUGUGUUCUGGUGCUGAAAAAGGAAAUGGGAUGAAGGGUAGUCAUCCUUCGCAGUAUUCCCAAUACAAGUACAUAAGACCAAUCAAUUCGAAAGGCAGCAGAUCUGGAGCAGCGGUUCCCCUGUCUUCUCCAUUGUCAGGUAAAUGUGAUUGGGAUGUAAAUGGGAGCAAUCGGCAGAUGGUGUCAAGCAUGCCUCACACUGCUUCAUCCUCUAGUACAAUCAUUCCUUUUGUUGCUCAAAGAGGAUAUGAUUUCUCGCUUCCACGCUAUAGGACAAUAUUAGGCGUAAAUAUUGAUACAUUUGAGCGGAAGCCCUGGAUACAUCCUGGAGCAGAUAUAACAGAUUUUUUCAACUUUGGCCUGGAUGAGGAAAGUUGGAAAGAGUAUUGCAACCACCUGGAACAAUUUCGUCAACAUCAUCAACAUACCAACAUGCUGGCCAAGAACCCUGAGUCUCUAAGGCUUAACCAGGCUUCCGGGCUUGAAUUUGAGCAUGAGACAGUAGCUCCAGAAGCUGUGACUGGGGAAAGUGGUCAAAUUGGCGAUGCCACAAAAGUUUCUUUGUCCUUAAAAAAUGCUGAUAGAGGAGGGAAAUGGCUGGAAGUGCCGAAAGGAAGAGCAAUUCAGGUUGAAGGUGGCAUUGGUGAACGACAACCGUCUAUGGAUGUGAGACGCCCACGCAAUCGGGAUUCUGAUGUUGUAAUACAGAUUUCUGUUCAUGAUUCCUCGAGGGAUUCCAGUGGUUCAAGUGAGCAAGAAGGCCAUGAAGAUAAUUCUGUACUGGAAAUAUCUAAGAGUAGAGAUUUUGGAACAGAUGAUAACAGUGAUAUGCAUGAUUCUGAUGGUGUGCACAAGGACACACAGUCUAUAAAGCCGGUGGAUGAAUAUAGCAAUCGAUUUUCCAGAUCUCAUGUUAAAGAUUAUGGAGCACGCCGUCUGACAAGGUGCUCUCAACCAACAGCUACAUCAAAUGCAUUGACUCUGGAUCCUGAUGGUCAAGUGAAUGAGCACAUCUGUGAUGAAGCUAGGCAUCAUCGUCAGAAGGCGAAAGAGAAAAUUUUUAAGGAUGAAAAAAUGUUGAUGCAAGUAGAGCAAACCAAGGAAGCGAUUGUUAAUGUGAUACCUUCCAAGGCAGGACCGCGUAUGUUGGAAGCAGAAUCAAAUUCUGAAACCUAUUUUGAUAGUCGUUCUAAAGCACCCAAUGAUGAGAUGGAUUUUGGUCUGGAUAGAGCUCUGAAGCCUUCGGAAAGGCCAUCAUCAAAUUCUGCCCCUGAAUCAUGGGAGUCAAUGGCAUGUGACAGUGAUAACUCUAAAGACUCUGGAAGCAAUGACAGUGAUAUGGAAUUUGGUGAAUGCAAAUUUGAUUCUAAAAACCAAAGCCCCAAUCAUGUGAAGCAGAACCACUGCAGUAGAAUGCAACUACGCAGUGUAGCUGAACUGAAGGAUCACAGAGAUGAUGAUGAGGAUGCUCUAAUGUCUGAUAGAAAGGACUGGUAUGGCGGUGAUCACUCAAAAGUUAACCAUGAUACACAUAAACGAUGGAGGCGUAAUAAUGGUGUUUAUGAUGGAGAAGAGAUGUCGUAUUAUAGAGGUACUGAAGUAUCAACUGGUUGUCGCAGUGAUAGGCCUGUUGACAGAAAGGCAAGGAAUGGUUGCACUGAAAAUUUUCAUGGGAUUCCACGAUACAUCAAGGAUGAUAAGGAUCGAUUUCCCACAAGGCACUGGCAUGAAAAUGAUUAUUUUCUUGACGAAGGAAUCACUGCAGAGUACAGAAGAAGAGAAGAUUAUCUUCAUGAAAGAGGACAUACAAAAGACAGAAUAAAUUCUUUUUCUUAUAAGAAAUCCCGGUCACUUUCAGGGCAUUCCUCCCUUUACACAGAGGAGGCAAGAAAUCCUUGGCAAAGAAGGAAGAGGGAUGAUAAAUCACGAUUCAGAAAGAGAACUCCUGAUGAUGAGUAUGAGUUGGAGCAUAGGUGUAUAGAGGAUCUUGAAGAAAAAUAUGGAAGACAUGUACCAUACAAUGACAGAGAACCAUUCAAAGAGAAGUAUGAUAGGCAUAUACCAUAUAUUGGAAGAGAAAUAGAAAGGUCUGGUAGAAGAAACAGAUAUUGCCGCAGUCCCUAUCCCGAUUUGGACACUUCAUGGAGUUCUGCUGCAUAUGAUGAUGAAUUCUGGAGACAUCCUGAUCAUCGGUGUAUAGCAGUUGAUACUUGCAGAGAAGUUGAAAUUGUAAAAGAAAGACGGUGGCAAGAUAUCACUUCACCAAGGAAUGAUACAAGUGAUAUUAGGAGAUUUGAUGAAAGACAUUUUGACCAUUGGCGACCGAUAAAGCAUAGGGAUAGUGGUUGGCUUGAUCCUAUUUUUGAAAAUGAUUAUCAUGCUGAAGAUAGGACCAUUUAUCCUGAUGCUGAUAUUUAUAAAAAGGGAAGACGAUUUGGUCAGCGACCUGAAGCAUUCCAUUGGGUUGAGAGCAAAUUAUGCUCUAGGCAUCAAGAUCAAGAUGAAAUGUAUUCCGAUGAGGAACCUUCUUCCUUCAAAAGAAAUAAGAAGCAUGAGCGUAUUCAUGUUGAACGUGAGCCAACACAUCAUGGUUUCGUGAUUAAUGAGCAGAUUGGAAGCAAAAUUAUAAGAGAAGAAAUAAGAAUAUCGGAAAUUAGCAACCACAAUAAUUCUGGUAUCAAUAUUAUUUGUAGGGUUAAGCAUGAGCAAGCAGCCCUUAGGAGCAGGGAUUCGGCUCUAGGUGGUUGGGAAGGAAAGGUAAAGUUGGGGAAACCGAGGUUGACACCUUGUAUCACUGUACUUGUAUAUAUGAGUGGCGCCUUUGACAUGUUCAGUGGCUCUUUUUCUUUUUUGUUGAAGCUAUCCCUGUGCAUUUCUUUGGUAGAGCCCUUUAUACCUGCUAUGAUCUUUUUAUUUGUUUCAUGUAAUCUUCUUGAUAAAGAUUUUUCCAUUUCAACCAUUCCUUCAUGUGUUACAUUUCCAAGGAUGGCCAUGGAGGCUAAGGAAGAUGGUGUAUCAGGUAUAAUACCUGAAGCAUGUAGAUGGGGAGGGGCAAAUAGUUCAUCUUUGCUGCUAAUAAAAUUUCUCAAGCAUUCUCUUUCUGGAAUUUAUGACUGCUAUAUUCAUUUGUUAAGUGCUAGUUUAUUUCUCAUCAAAAUCUACAUCCGGUUUAUGCCGAAUCUUUUUAUUUGUACAACUGUUAAUUUUUUGGGGGUUGAAUUUUGAAGAAUACACGUGUUUGAUGGAAGUUCUUGAUGCGGAUGCUUCACGUUCUUACAUAUGUCAAUUUCUUUCUAUACUCAAGUAGGUCAACUAGAUGUUAGUAUCCUAUGGAGACCAUUCUACUAAUCCUUGUGACAGUUGCCCAAACUGAGCCCUCUGAUGUGCAGAGCUGCCAAUUUAUAUUCCUAUGGAUCCUGAUCACUCUUGCCAUUUGUUGCGGUGGAUCUUACUGAGUUGGCAAUUACCAUGGAACUGAAAAACAAGAUUCAUUGGUAUCCACGUAGUUUAUCUUAUGUGUCUUAUACUAACUUGAACAUUAGUGUGUUGAAAAGCAGUCCUCCGGAAGAUGCUCCAAAGCUGAGGAUGUUAGAUGCAAUGGUGGGCACAGCCACAUGGACCAGAUGGUUGAUAAUGAGCAGACGGUUUUCAGGCAUUCUGAUGAAGCACAUACAAGGGUUG
Molecule: RNA transcript, 4281 nt
Organism: Telopea speciosissima
Lineage: Eukaryota; Viridiplantae; Streptophyta; Magnoliopsida; Proteales; Proteaceae
Gene name: FIP1[III]-like protein
Exons: 9
Source: RefSeq, a predicted model, not a curated record